GCUUAUACAUGCAAGUCAAGGGGGUAGCAAUACAACCGGCGCACGGGUGAGUAACGCGUACACAACAUACCAUAUACUGGGGUAUAGCUUCGGGAAACUGGAGAUAAUCCCCCAUAACAUUGCGAGAGGGCAUCUGAUUGCAAUUAAAGUUUCGACGGUAUAUGAUUGGUGUGCGUUUGAUUAGCUUGUUGGUAGGGUAACGGCCUACCAAGGCGACGAUCAAUAGCUGGCGUGAGAGCGCGACCAGCCACACUGGAACUGAGACACGGUCCAGACUCCUACGGGAGGCAGCAGUAGGGAAUAUUGGACAAUGGGCGAAAGCCUGAUCCAGCCAUGCCGCGUGAUAGAUGAAGGCCCUCUGGGUUGUAAAUAUCUUUUAUCUGGGAAGAAACUCCUCUAUUCUUAGAGGCCUGACGGUACCAGAGGAAUAAGCACCGGCUAACUCCGUGCCAGCAGCCGCGGUAAUACGGAGGGUGCAAGCGUUAUCCGGAUUCACUGGGUUUAAAGGGUGCGUAGGUGGGUUGAUAAGUCAGUGGUGAAAGCUCCGAGCUUAACUUGGAAACUGCCCCUCAUACUGUCAGUCUUGAAUGUCGUACAGGUAAGCGGAAUGUUGCAUGUAGCGGUGAAAUGCUUAGAUAUGUUACAGAACACCAAUUGCGAAGGCAGCUUACUAUGCGAUGAUUGACGCUGAGGCACGAAAGCGUGGGGAGCAAACAGGAUUAGAUACCCUGGUAGUCCACGCCCUAAACGAUGAUUACUCGAUGUUGGCGAUAUACUGUCAGCGUCUUAGCGAAAGCGUUAAGUAAUCCACCUGGGGAGUACGCUCGCAAGAGUGAAACUCAAGGAAUUGACGGGGUCCGCACAAGCGGUGGAGUAUGUGGUUUACUCGAUGAUACGCGAAGAACCUUACCAAGGUAGAAUGUUUUGACCGCUGCGAAAGGUGGCUUUCUCUCGAAACGAUGCAGGGCUGCUGCUGUCGUCGCUCGGUCUGGAAUUGGUAAGUCCGCACGAGCCCACCUUAAUAGUGCAUCAGUAUGCUGGGACUUAGUAACUGCUGCUUAGGUGGAAAGGAGGACAGCUCAGUCUAUGGCCUUAACCUGCUCACGUUCUAUGCGUCAGGUGGCACGCCGAGUGACUUCACGCUUACGGAGGUGCAACACUGGCGCACCUUUCCCGACAAGUUCCGGAU
RNAcentral lists this ribosomal RNA (1189 nucleotides) under uncultured bacterium. Its description in RNAcentral is "bacterial SSU rRNA". It matches the Rfam family "Bacterial small subunit ribosomal RNA", at positions 46 to 1298 of the family's 1533-position model. The record is from RNAcentral.